This 1156-nucleotide ribosomal RNA is filed under the name Campylobacter coli. RNAcentral describes it as "partial 23S ribosomal RNA". It matches the Rfam family "Bacterial large subunit ribosomal RNA", at positions 12 to 1188 of the family's 2925-position model. The record is from RNAcentral. Lineage: Bacteria; Pseudomonadati; Campylobacterota; Epsilonproteobacteria; Campylobacterales; Campylobacteraceae.
UAAGAGCGAAUGGUGGAUGCCUUGACUGGUAAAGGCGAUGAAGGACGUACUAGACUGCGAUAAGCUACGGGGAGCUGUCAAGAAGCUUUGAUCCGUAGAUUUCCGAAUGGGGCAACCCAAUGUAUAGAGAUAUACAUUACCUAUAUAGGAGCGAACGAGGGGAAUUGAAACAUCUUAGUACCCUCAGGAAAAGAAAUCAAUAGAGAUUGCGUCAGUAGCGGCGAGCGAAAGCGCAAGAGGGCAAACCCAGUGCUUGCACUGGGGGUUGUAGGACUGCAAUGUGCAAGAGGUGAGUUUAGCAGAACAUUCUGGAAAGUAUAGCCAUAGAGGGUGAUAGUCCCGUAUGCGAAAAACAAACCUUAGCUAGCAGUAUCCUGAGUAGGGCGGGACACGAGAAAUCCUGUCUGAAGCUGGGUCGACCACGAUCCAACCCUAAAUACUAAUACCAGAUCGAUAGUGCACAAGUACCGUGAGGGAAAGGUGAAAAGAACUGAGGUGAUCAGAGUGAAAUAGAACCUGAAACCAUUUGCUUACAAUCAUUCAGAGCCCUAUGUAGCAAUACAGGGUGAUGGACUGCCUUUUGCAUAAUGAGCCUGCGAGUUGUGGUGUCUGGCAAGGUUAAGCAAACGCGAAGCCGUAGCGAAAGCGAGUCUGAAUAGGGCGCUUAGUCAGAUGCUGCAGACCCGAAACGAAGUGAUCUAUCCAUGAGCAAGUUGAAGCUAGUGUAAGAACUAGUGGAGGACUGAACCCAUAGGCGUUGAAAAGCCCCGGGAUGACUUGUGGAUAGGGGUGAAAGGCCAAUCAAACUUCGUGAUAGCUGGUUCUCUCCGAAAUAUAUUUAGGUAUAGCGUUGUGUCGUAAUAUAAGGGGGUAGAGCACUGAAUGGGCUAGGGCAUACACCAAUGUACCAAACCCUAUCAAACUCCGAAUACCUUAUAUGUAAUCACAGCAGUCAGGCGGCGAGUGAUAAAAUCCGUCGUCAAGAGGGAAACAACCCAGACUACCAGCUAAGGUCCCUAAAUCUUACUUAAGUGGAAAACGAUGUGAAGUUACUUAAACAACCAGGAGGUUGGCUUAGAAGCAGCCAUCCUUUAAAGAAAGCGUAAUAGCUCACUGGUCUAGUGAUUUUGCGCGGAAAAUAUAACGGGGCUAAAGU